RNAcentral lists this ribosomal RNA (507 nucleotides) under uncultured bacterium. RNAcentral describes it as "bacterial SSU rRNA". It matches the Rfam family "Bacterial small subunit ribosomal RNA", at positions 16 to 518 of the family's 1533-position model. The record is from RNAcentral.
AUCUUGGUUCAGGAUGAACGCUAGCGGCAGGCUUAACACAUGCAAGUCGAGGGGCAUCGGGAGUAGCAAUACUUGCCGGCGACCGGCGCAAGGGUGCGUAACGCGUGAGCAACAUGCCCGUAUCAGGGGGAUAAUCCAUGGAAACGUGGUCUAAUACCCCAUAGUAAUUAUGUAAGGCAUCUUAUAUAAUUUAAAGCUUUGGUGGAUACGGAUUGGCUCGCGUGACAUUAGCUAGAUGGUAAGGUAACGGCUUACCAUGGCUACGAUGUCUAGGGGUUCUGAGAGGAAGGUCCCCCACACUGGAACUGAGACACGGUCCAGACUCCUACGGGAGGCAGCAGUGAGGAAUAUUGGACAAUGGAUGGAAAUCUGAUCCAGCCAUGCCGCGUGCAGGAAGACGGCCCUAUGGGUUGUAAACUGCUUUUGUAUGGGAGCAAUAAGGGCUACGUGUAGUCCGAUGAGAGUACCAUACGAAUAAGCACCGGCUAACUCCGUGCCAGCCGCGGC